UACGUAGGCAGCAAGCGUUGUUCGGAGUUACUGGGCGUAAAGGGUGUGUAGGCGGUCUCUUAAGUUUGUUGUGAAAUCUCCCGGCUCAACUGGGAGGGUGCGGCGAAUACUGAGAGGCUAGAGUGCGGGAGAGGAAAGUGGAAUUCCUGGUGUAGCGGUGAAAUGCGUAGAUAUCAGGAGGAACACCGGUGGUGUAGACGGCUUUCUGGACCGUAACUGACGCUGAGACACGAAAGCGUGGGUAG
This 245-nucleotide ribosomal RNA is filed under the name uncultured bacterium. RNAcentral describes it as "partial 16S ribosomal RNA". It matches the Rfam family "Bacterial small subunit ribosomal RNA", at positions 524 to 768 of the family's 1533-position model. The record is from RNAcentral.